AAUAACGAAGUAUAUGCCAAGUAAUAUUCUUUAUUCACCAAUUACCAAUUAUUAACAAACCCUUAAACCUCCUACCGAAAUAUCAGCCAUCCUAACAAAUUUACUGCCAAAUAACGAUAUUCACUUAGUUUAUUAACAUAACUAAGAUAUUCUAAAGCGAUUUACAUUGUUAUUAUGUGGUAGAAAACUAAACUAAAAAUAAUCCGAAUAUUCUUUCAAAACCUAUCUAUUGUAAGCUAUAUAUAACUACCGUAGUC
Molecule: long non-coding RNA, 257 nt
Filed under: Brassica napus (rape)
Lineage: Eukaryota; Viridiplantae; Streptophyta; Magnoliopsida; Brassicales; Brassicaceae
Description: long non-coding RNA (BNAP_LNC009502)
Source: RNAcentral